GGGCCCGCACAAGCGGUGGAGCAUGUGGUUUAAUUCGAUGAUACGCGAGGAACCUUACCAGGGUUUAAAUGUAGAGUGCUUUUCUGGAAACAGAUUUUUCCUUCGGGACGCUUUACAAGGUGCUGCAUGGUUGUCGUCAGCUCGUGCCGUGAGGUGUCGGGUUAAGUCCCAUAACGAGCGCAACCCCUAUUUCUAGUUGCCAGCGGAUAAUGUCGGGGACUCUAGAAAAACUGCCCGUGCAAACGGUGAGGAAGGUGGGGAUGACGUCAAAUCAUCACGGCCCUUACAUCCUGGGCUACACACGUGCUACAAUGGUAGGUACAAAGGGCAGCUACACAGCGAUGUGAUGCUAAUCUCUAAAGCCUAUCUCAGUUCGGAUUGGAGUCUGCAACUCGACUCUAUGAAGCUGGAAUCGCUAGUAAUCGC
RNAcentral lists this ribosomal RNA (426 nucleotides) under uncultured bacterium. RNAcentral's name for it is "bacterial SSU rRNA". It matches the Rfam family "Bacterial small subunit ribosomal RNA", at positions 917 to 1345 of the family's 1533-position model. The record is from RNAcentral.